This 497-nucleotide ribosomal RNA is filed under the name uncultured bacterium. RNAcentral's name for it is "partial 16S ribosomal RNA". It matches the Rfam family "Bacterial small subunit ribosomal RNA", at positions 28 to 507 of the family's 1533-position model. The record is from RNAcentral.
GAUGAACGCUGGCGGCGUGCCUAAUACAUGCAAGUCGAGCGAACAGACGAGGAGCUUGCUCCUCUGACGUUAGCGGCGGACGGGUGAGUAACACGUGGAUAACCUACCUAUAAGACUGGGAUAACUUCGGGAAACCGGAGCUAAUACCGGAUAAUAUAUUGAACCGCAUGGUUCAAUAGUGAAAGACGGUUUUGCUGUCACUUAUAGAUGGAUCCGCGCCGCAUUAGCUGGUUGGUAAGGUAACGGCUUACCAAGGCAACGAUGCGUAGCCGACCUGAGAGGGUGAUCGGCCACACUGGAACUGAGACACGGUCCAGACUCCUACGGGAGGCAGCAGUAGGGAAUCUUCCGCAAUGGGGGAAAGCCUGACGGAGCAACGCCGCGUGAGUGAUGAAGGUCUUCGGAUCGUAAAACUCUGUUAUUAGGGAAGAACAAAUGUGUAAGUAACUAUGCACGUCUUGACGGUACCUAAUCAGAAAGCCACGGCUAACUACGUG